Molecule: long non-coding RNA, 1001 nt
Organism: Melopsittacus undulatus (budgerigar)
Lineage: Eukaryota; Metazoa; Chordata; Aves; Psittaciformes; Psittaculidae
Source: Ensembl
CUUAUUAGGGAAUUAGCACAUCUACCAGAAGGAUCACAUACUUCCUAGAAUGUACUCCAUCUUCAGGCAUGUGUAUGUUCUCAGGAGAUGUAGUUCUUUGUAAUUGUUUUAGAAGGUUUUGAAGAAAAACUGCCUUCAAUAAAUAAAAAUUGCUGAAGUUGUUGUAUUUUAAUCCAGUAGAAAUGUAAGAAUAAUUACACUAACUUUUUGUUGGCAAGCUGCAGUUCCAACAACUUGUUAUCUUGCAUAAAAUCUCAACUGACCUGCAUGUUAUGGGAUGAUUCAAGAUUUGUCUGACAGAGUAUCUGAAUUGUUUGCCCCUUCCUGUACCUUUAUCCCACCUCAUCUUUUAGAAAGACUUAAUUUCCUGACCUUAUUGAACUUACAAGGUGGUUCCCCAUCCAAUUCUCCUCCCUCUUGAGUUUUCUCUGGUCUGGUAGUUUCUGUCCUAGAACCAUAGGAUCAUUCUGUCCUCUGGGUGUAGGGGAAAACAUGCUGGCAGCUGCAGAGGAUCUGAAAUUAACAUUUGGCUUUGUAGGCAUUACCUGGCUCUGCCUCUUUUCCUGGUAUCCUCAUCAGCACGCUUUAAUCUUCCCUUCUCAAAUAAAAAUUCCCUCUGAUGGUGCUAAAUUUCUAAGCUGAACCGAAUCUGAAGUGCCCAAGCUGCUGAACCAAGAAUGGGCUUGAUCUGUCACUCACGCAAGUGUAGAUCAGGUUAAAGCUUGCUUUGAAGUCAAUACUGUUGGUUUAAAAGUAAUGCAGCCAUGAGAGCAACCUGUCAGCAUGAGGUGAGCUGCCUGCAUUUGUUUCAGAGGGGUUUGAACACUGAUGUCUCUGGACUGUUUCACAGCCGCUGCUCUUCACAGGGGACCAAGAUAUGGGAGUGGAUUUACUUAAGUGAGAGAGAACUUCAGACCACUCAGGAUGGUCCCAAAAGCAUCAUACAAGUGACCAUACAGAACGAUAAUUCAGCACCAUCAGGACAUGAGUCUGGAGUCUGA